Molecule: ribosomal RNA, 552 nt
Filed under: Colletotrichum gloeosporioides
Lineage: Eukaryota; Fungi; Ascomycota; Sordariomycetes; Glomerellales; Glomerellaceae
Description: eukaryotic LSU rRNA
Rfam family: 5.8S ribosomal RNA (bases 192-345)
Source: RNAcentral
UCCUGCGGAGGGAUCAUUACUGAGUUUACGCUCUACAACCCUUUGUGAACAUACCUAUAACUGUUGCUUCGGCGGGUAGGGUCUCCGUGACCCUCCCGGCCUCCCGCCCCCGGGCGGGUCGGCGCCCGCCGGAGGAUAACCAAACUCUGAUUUAACGACGUUUCUUCUGAGUGGUACAAGCAAAUAAUCAAAACUUUUAACAACGGAUCUCUUGGUUCUGGCAUCGAUGAAGAACGCAGCGAAAUGCGAUAAGUAAUGUGAAUUGCAGAAUUCAGUGAAUCAUCGAAUCUUUGAACGCACAUUGCGCCCGCCAGCAUUCUGGCGGGCAUGCCUGUUCGAGCGUCAUUUCAACCCUCAAGCUCUGCUUGGUGUUGGGGCCCUACAGCUGAUGUAGGCCCUCAAAGGUAGUGGCGGACCCUCCCGGAGCCUCCUUUGCGUAGUAACUUUACGUCUCGCACUGGGAUCCGGAGGGACUCUUGCCGUAAAACCCCCAAUUCUCCAAAGGUUGACCUCGGAUCAGGUAGGAAUACCCGCUGAACUUAAGCAUAUCAA